RNAcentral lists this ribosomal RNA (243 nucleotides) under Plasmodium inui. RNAcentral describes it as "partial small subunit ribosomal RNA". It matches the Rfam family "Eukaryotic small subunit ribosomal RNA", at positions 132 to 361 of the family's 1831-position model. Lineage: Eukaryota; Apicomplexa; Aconoidasida; Haemosporida; Plasmodiidae. The record is from RNAcentral.
UUUUUAUAAGGAUAACUACGGAAAAGCUGUAGCUAAUACUUGCUUUAAUGCUCCCGACGUGUUACGUCUUGUGAGCAUGUACUUGUUAGGCCUUUAUAAGAAAAAAGUUAAUAACUUAAGGAAUGAUAACAAAGAAGUGACACAUAAAAAGGACUCGUCCCAUUUUCUAGUGUGUAUCAAUCGAGUUUCUGACCUAUCAGCUUUUGAUGUUAGGGUAUUGGCCUAACAUGGCUAUGACGGGUA